RNAcentral lists this long non-coding RNA (367 nucleotides) under Oryza brachyantha (malo sina). RNAcentral's name for it is "long non-coding RNA (OBRA_LNC001186)". The record is from RNAcentral. Lineage: Eukaryota; Viridiplantae; Streptophyta; Magnoliopsida; Poales; Poaceae.
GCCAAAUGGUUUAAGGCACACCCGGCGUGCAUUAGCACCAUGCGUGGUAUGCGCAUGUAGCGACCCCUAACGGUAAAAUCUUGUUGAAUCUAGCGUAUGACACAUGCGCUUGGCAACCAUCAAUUCUUUUUUGUUCUUUUUUUUUCUAUUGAUUCAACCGUCCAACACUCGUUCAUGGAUUGUUUUACCCUUUAUCUCCUACAGGAUAGAAGAAAUAACCGGCAUAGUGCAUAUGCUAAUUUCCCCCUUGUGACAACUAGAUUUUAAACAUAAGUUUAUUAGUACUUAGCUAGCAAACGCGCGAGUCAUUGCUUUGCUUUUGUUGAUGAUAAGUCAUAAUGUUUAUCAUUGAUUAAAAAAAUUUAUA